RNAcentral lists this ribosomal RNA (497 nucleotides) under uncultured bacterium. RNAcentral's name for it is "partial 16S ribosomal RNA". It matches the Rfam family "Bacterial small subunit ribosomal RNA", at positions 28 to 507 of the family's 1533-position model. The record is from RNAcentral.
GAUGAACGCUGGCGGCGUGCCUAAUACAUGCAAGUCGAGCGAACAGACGAGGAGCUUGCUCCUCUGACGUUAGCGGUGGACGGGUGAGUAACACGUGGAUAACCUACCUAUAAGACUGGGAUAACUUCGGGAAACCGGAGCUAAUACCGGAUAAUAUAUUGAACCGCAUGGUUCAAUAGUGAAAGACGGUUUUGCUGUCACUUAUAGAUGGAUCCGCGCCGCAUUAGCUAGUUGGUAAGGUAACGGCUUACCAAGGCAACGAUGCGUAGCCGACCUGAGAGGGUGAUCGGCCACACUGGAACUGAGACACGGUCCAGACUCCUACGGGAGGCAGCAGUAGGGAAUCUUCCGCAAAGGGCGAAAGCUUGACGGAGCAACGCCGCGUGAGUGAUGAAGGUCUUCGGAUCGUAAAACUCUGUUAUUAGGGAAGAACAAAUGUGUAAGUAACUAUGCACGUCUUGACGGUACCUAAUCAGAAAGCCACGGCUAACUACGUG